This 469-nucleotide ribosomal RNA is filed under the name uncultured bacterium. RNAcentral's name for it is "SSU rRNA". It matches the Rfam family "Bacterial small subunit ribosomal RNA", at positions 26 to 518 of the family's 1533-position model. The record is from RNAcentral.
AGGAUAAACGCUGGCGGCGUGCCUAACACAUGCAAGUCGAACGCGCUUUCGGGCUUCGGUGCGAGAGCGAGUGGCGGACGGGUGAGUAACACAUGGGUACCUGCCUUUCAGUGAGGGAUACCGGCGAGAAAUCGCCGACAAUACCGCAUGGGCUUGUGGGAACACAAGCAAAGUGGCGCAAGCCACGCUGGAAGAUGGGCCUGUGGCCGAUUAGCUAGUUGGGGGGUAACGGCCUCCCAAGGCGACGAUCGGUAGCUGGUCUGAGAGGACGAUCAGCCACACUGGGAUUGAGAACGGCCCAGACUCCUACGGGGGGCAGCAGUGAGGAAUUUUCCGCAAUGGGCGAAAGUCUGACGGAGCAACGCCGCGUGCAGGAGGAAGGUUUUCGGAUCGUAAACUGCUUUUCUCGGGGACGAGCAAGGACGGUACCCGAGGAAGAAGCCCCGGCUAACUACGCGCCAGCAGCCGC